GCGGUGGAGCAUGUGGUUUAAUUCGAAGCAACGCGAAGAACCUUACCAGGUCUUGACAUCCCGAUGCUAUUCUAGAGAUAGAAGUUACUUCGGUACAUCGGUGACAGGUGGUGCAUGGUUGUCGUCAGCUCGUGUCGUGAGAUGUUGGGUUAAGUCCCGCAACGAGCGCAACCCCUAUUGUUAGUUGCCAUCAUUCAGUUGGGCACUCUAGCGAGACUGCCGGUAAUAAACCGGAGGAAGGUGGGGAUGACGUCAAAUCAUCAUGCCCCUUAUGUCUUGGGCUACACACGUGCUACAAUGGUCGGUACAACGGGGUGCGAAGGAGCGAUCCGGAGCGAAUCCCAAGAAGCCGAUCUCAGUUCGGAUUGCAGGCUGCAACUCGCCUGCAUGAAGUUGGAGUUGCUAGUAAUCGCGAAUCAGAACGUCGCGGUGAAUGCGUUCCCGGGUCUU
RNAcentral lists this ribosomal RNA (450 nucleotides) under uncultured Lachnospiraceae bacterium. Its description in RNAcentral is "bacterial SSU rRNA". It matches the Rfam family "Bacterial small subunit ribosomal RNA", at positions 929 to 1382 of the family's 1533-position model. The record is from RNAcentral. Lineage: Bacteria; Bacillati; Bacillota; Clostridia; Lachnospirales; Lachnospiraceae.